Molecule: ribosomal RNA, 440 nt
Filed under: uncultured bacterium
Lineage: Bacteria
Description: partial 16S ribosomal RNA
Rfam family: Bacterial small subunit ribosomal RNA
Source: RNAcentral
CCUACGGGUGGCAGCAGUGGGGAAUAUUGCACAAUGGGGGAAACCCUGAUGCAGCAACGCCGCGUGAGUGAAGCAGCAUUUCGGCAGGUAAAGCCCUAUCAGCGGGGAAGAAAAUGACGGGUCCCGAACAAGAAACCCCGGCUAACUACGGGCCAGCAGCCGCGGUAAUACGUAGGGGGCAAGCGUUAACCGGAUGUACUGGGGGUAAAGGGGGCGUAGACGGGAGAGCAAGUCUGGAGUGAAAGCCCGCGGCCCAACCGCGGGACUGCUUUGGAGACUGGCCGGCUAGAGUGCUGGAGAGGUAAGCGGAAUUCCUGGUGUAGCGGUGAAAUGCGUAGAUAUCAGGAGGAACACCGGUGGCGAAGGCGGCUUACUGGACCGUAACUGACGUUGAGGCUCGAAAGCGUGGGGAGCAAACAGGAUUAGAUACCCCAGUAGUC